This is a long non-coding RNA of Mustela erminea (ermine), 527 nucleotides long. RefSeq lists it as uncharacterized. The record is from RefSeq and is a predicted model, not a curated record. The transcript has 3 exons. NCBI's taxonomy places the organism in Eukaryota, Metazoa, Chordata, Mammalia, Carnivora, Mustelidae.
UGUUCCCUGGACUAUCAAACCUCCUUAAAUCAUCCCUGGAAUCAGCAAUCUGGAAAAAAGACCAAUUAUCAAGUCACAGGGGCAUGGAUGGAGGAAAACAGCAUCAAACUUGCAAGAAACAAAAACAUGGAUUGUGGAUCCCCCAUGGUGCCAGGAGAGGUGAUAGGGACAGAGAGCCAACAGUUUCUGAACCUCAGUCUUGCUACCUGGAAAUGGAGACGCUAAUCCUCAUGGGAGAGCUCUUUUGCACUACACAGAGGAAUAAACAAGAGAAAGAAAUGUGUAAAACGGAUUCACUCUUGAAGGCCUUACACUGGGAUCAGACAUCUCUCUCUAUAUAUACUUUAAAAAACUGAAGGUUGGCUCAGAGAGGACCCAGAAAAGGAGAAAACGAUGCCGAAGUACAACUGUUGUAUUACAUCGAUUUGAUGGUGGAUGCCACAAACCAACUCAGGUACGGGGCUCCCAGAUAUUUUUGGAAAUGUACCUACUACCCUAUUCUUUCCAUGAAAAUAUGCAUUGAAAAA